Pezoporus occidentalis (night parrot) is the source of this 1638-nucleotide long non-coding RNA. RefSeq lists it as uncharacterized. NCBI's taxonomy places the organism in Eukaryota, Metazoa, Chordata, Aves, Psittaciformes, Psittacidae. The transcript has 2 exons. The record is from RefSeq and is a predicted model, not a curated record.
GGUGCUUUGGUUUAACCCCUGCCAGCAACUAAGUACCAGCCAGCCACCCCCACGGUGGAGGGGGGGGAGAGUUGGGAAAAGGUAAAACUUGUGGGUUGAGAUAAGAAUGGUUUAAGAAUUGAAACAAAACAAAGUAAAAUAUAUUAGUAAUACUAAUGAUAAUAAUGAAAAGGAGAGACGGGGAGAGAGGGAGGAAUAAAACCAAAGAAAAUUAAGUGAUGCACAAUAGAAUUGCACACCAGUUGCUGACUGAUGCCCAGCCAGUCCCUGAGCAGUGAUUGAUAGCUCCCAGCCAGCUCCUCCCAAUUUCCAUAAGAAGCAUGACAUUCAAUGGUAUGGAAUAUACCUUUGGCUACUUCGGGUCAGCUGUCCUGACUAUGCUCCCUCCCAGCUCCUUGAGCAGCUGCUCACUGGCAGAGUAUGGGAAACUGAAAAGUCUUUGACUUCAGAAGCACUACUUGGCAAUAACUAAAACAUCAGUGUGCUAUCAAUACUAUUCUCAUACUAAAAUCAAAACACAGCACUGUACCAGUUGCUAAGAAAAACAGUUAAAUCUACCCCAGCUGAAACCAGGACAAGGGCCUGAGCCACUACCCCCCUCCACUGAAAGCCCUGGAACUGGCAGAAGUCCUGGAAAAUGAGAGUGCUCUAUACAUACUCCAUGUCCGAGAGAAGUUAAUCCACCAAACUGCAAUUUUAGAAGGACUAGUGUAAACACAGGAGGCUUCUGUCAAAAUGCAGCCAAAAGGCUUUUGGGUACAGAAGGGCAGGAGUGCUUGGAGGGAGCUUCACAGGGAAGGGUGGCAUGAGGCAAAGAAAUGUCUCAUUUAAAGUUCUGCCGGGGCCUAGGGACUGGGCAGGUUCAAGUUAUAGAGCAGGAUAUGCACCAGCUAAAAUUUUGAUCUUACAGUGACUGAGUGUGCAGAACGGGGUGUGAAGGUCUCCGUGCUGCGCCUGUGAUGAUGGGUAUGACCCCUUCUGGGUCUGCUCCCCAUUCCUUUCAUGUGAUUCACUGAACAGUGAUGGCUACUGGUGGUGUUCCAGUGUCAAGGGGUUUUCUGUGACACAUUACUGAUGGGAUGAGGCUAAGUAUUAUCUCAGAAGAUCAGUAGGGCAAGAAGGACCCUCAUUUAACUCAUUUAUAUUAUACUGAAGUCAUGAUAGAUGCUGUCAUAGGAAAGGGAGCCUUCUGGAACACGUUUAAAUUAAAGAUUUUGUUACUUCAGUUACUAACAAGGCAUAAUACAAACAAAAUAAUGGUUCUAAUAUAACAGUCUGAAAUACAAUAAUGGGUUUGGAGAAUGUGAAACUAGUUGUGUGUCACAGAAAGCUAUGAGAUCUCUUAUUUUCUGUAUCUGUCUGUAUUUCAGGUUCUGCAUUUGCGCCACUCUGAGUUGUCAGUGCUUUCAUGAGCUCAUGAGAUAUUUAAAAGACAGUUAGUCCAAUCACAGGAUACCAAAGUAUUCAGCAGCAAAUACAGCUGAGUACAAUAUACUUUCAGGCAAGUCACAGAAUUUAAUACUUGAUGCCAAGGUAUAUCAAUAAGUUGCAUAACACAGUGUUUUAAACCAUCUAACUACCAAUGUUUAGCCACCUAACUGCACAGUUUAUCAUUUUAAAGUUAACCAUAGCAUUGCA